Molecule: ribosomal RNA, 463 nt
Filed under: uncultured bacterium
Lineage: Bacteria
Description: bacterial SSU rRNA
Rfam family: Bacterial small subunit ribosomal RNA
Source: RNAcentral
GUACUUACUCCUACGGGAGGCAGCAGUGGGGGAUAUUGCACAAUGGGCGCAAGCCUGAUGCAGCGACGCCGCGUGGGGGAUGAAGGCCUUCGGGUUGUAAACUCCUUUCGCUAGGGACGAAGCUUUUUUGUGACGGUACCUAGAUAAGAAGCACCGGCUAACUACGUGCCAGCAGCCGCGGUAAUACGUAGGGUGCGAGCGUUGUCCGGAAUUACUGGGCGUAAAGCGCGCGUAGGCGGUUUUUUAAGUCUGAUGUGAAAGCCCACGGCUCAACCGUGGAGGGUCAUUGGAAACUGGAAAACUUGAGUGCAGAAGAGGAAAGUGGAAUUCCAUGUGUAGCGGUGAAAUGCGCAGAGAUAUGGAGGAACACCAGUGGCGAAGGCGACUUUCUGGUCUAUAACUGACGCUGAUGUGCGAAAGCGUGGGGAUCAAACAGGAUUAGAUACCCCGGUAGUCCAGGCAU